Molecule: long non-coding RNA, 88 nt
Organism: Haliotis rubra (blacklip abalone)
Lineage: Eukaryota; Metazoa; Mollusca; Gastropoda; Lepetellida; Haliotidae
Exons: 3
Source: RefSeq, a predicted model, not a curated record
AUCCUGCAGGUAGAUUGAAGUAGUCUAAAAUUAUUGUCCCCCUGAGAGGGUACGUAAGACCACGUCAGUCAAAGUAUAUUUAUUCGUA